Molecule: transfer RNA, 85 nt
Filed under: Janthinobacterium sp. BJB446
Lineage: Bacteria; Pseudomonadati; Pseudomonadota; Betaproteobacteria; Burkholderiales; Oxalobacteraceae
Description: tRNA-Leu
Rfam family: tRNA
About the family: Transfer RNA (tRNA) molecules are approximately 80 nucleotides in length. Their secondary structure includes four short double-helical elements and three loops (D, anti-codon, and T loops). Further hydrogen bonds mediate the characteristic L-shaped molecular structure. tRNAs have two regions of fundamental functional importance: the anti-codon, which is responsible for specific mRNA codon recognition, and the 3' end, to which the tRNAs corresponding amino acid is attached (by aminoacyl-tRNA synthetases). tRNAs cope with the degeneracy of the genetic code in two manners: having more than one tRNA (with a specific anti-codon) for a particular amino acid; and 'wobble' base-pairing, i.e. permitting non-standard base-pairing at the 3rd anti-codon position.
Source: RNAcentral
GCCCACGUGGCGGAAUUGGUAGACGCGCAUGGUUCAGGUCCAUGUGCCUUUGGGUGUAGGGGUUCGAGUCCCUUCGUGGGCACCA